This 253-nucleotide ribosomal RNA is filed under the name uncultured bacterium. RNAcentral describes it as "partial 16S ribosomal RNA". It matches the Rfam family "Bacterial small subunit ribosomal RNA", at positions 524 to 776 of the family's 1533-position model. The record is from RNAcentral.
UACGGAGGGGGCAAGCGUUGUUCGGAAUUAUUGGGCGUAAAGGGCGCGUAGGCGGCCGGCCAAGUCGGGUGUGAAAUCCCUCGGCUCAACCGAGGAACUGCACUCGAUACUGGCUGGCUUGAGUCCGGGAGGGGAUGGUGGAAUUCCCAGUGUAGCGGUGAAAUGCGUAGAUAUUGGGAAGAACACCGGUGGCGAAGGCGACCAUCUGGACCGGAACUGACGCUGAGGCGCGAAAGCCAGGGGAGCGAAUGGG